This 217-nucleotide unclassified non-coding RNA is filed under the name Hevea brasiliensis (rubber tree). Lineage: Eukaryota; Viridiplantae; Streptophyta; Magnoliopsida; Malpighiales; Euphorbiaceae. The record is from RNAcentral.
GUGAUACUUGCCGUCCCUCCAACGGCACAUCACGCGAGUACCCACCUCUAGCGGUAGCAUACUCACCCUUCUCUUCUUCAAGGAGUCAGAUUCCAUCUGCGUCAUUUCUGCGGCCGGAGGAGGCAUUCCAUCGACAACAGAAUGAGGUUUCUGGUAGCCGUCCACGGCGGCAGGGGCCAGAUUUGCGGAGCCGUUCUCCGGAUUUGUUGGUGUCUCG